UACGGAGGGAGCUAGCGUUGUUCGGAAUUACUGGGCGUAAAGCGCACGUAGGCGGCGAUUCAAGUCAGAGGUGAAAGCCCGGGGCUCAACCCCGGAACUGCCUUUGAAACUAGAUUGCUAGAAUCCUGGAGAGGUGAGUGGAAUUCCGAGUGUAGAGGUGAAAUUCGUAGAUAUUCGGAAGAACACCAGAGGCGAAGGCAGCGAAUUGGCCCUAUAUUGACGCUCAGGCACGAAAGCAUGGGGAUCAAACAGG
RNAcentral lists this ribosomal RNA (253 nucleotides) under uncultured bacterium. RNAcentral describes it as "partial 16S ribosomal RNA". It matches the Rfam family "Bacterial small subunit ribosomal RNA", at positions 524 to 776 of the family's 1533-position model. The record is from RNAcentral.